GGAAGUAAAAGUCGUAACAAGGUCUCCGUUGGUGAACCAGCGGAGGGAUCAUUACAGAGUUUACAACUCCCAAACCCUUAUGUGAACAUACCACGAUGUUGCUUCGGCGGACUCGCCCCGGCGUCCGGACGGCCUAGCGCCGCCCGCGGCCCGGAUCCAGGCGGCCGCCGGAGACCACCAAAACUAUUUUGUAUCAGCAGUUUUUUCUGAAUCCGCCGCAAGGCAAAACAAAUGAAUCAAAACUUUCAACAACGGAUCUCUUGGUUCUGGCAUCGAUGAAGAACGCAGCGAAAUGCGAUAAGUAAUGUGAAUUGCAGAAUUCAGUGAAUCAUCGAAUCUUUGAACGCACAUUGCGCCCGCCAGCAUUCUGGCGGGCAUGCCUGUUCGAGCGUCAUUUCAACCCUCGACUUCCCUUUGGGGAAAUCGGCGUUGGGGACUGGCAGCAUACCGCCGGCCCCGAAAUGGAGUGGCGGCCCGUCCGCGGCGACCUCUGCGUAGUAAUCCAACCUCGCACCGGAACCCCGACGUGGCCACGCCGUAAAACACCCCACUUUCUGAACGUUGACCUCGGAUCAGGUAGGAAUACCCGCUGAACUUAAGCAUAUCAUAGCGGAGGA
Molecule: ribosomal RNA, 617 nt
Filed under: Paracorniculantispora psalliotae
Lineage: Eukaryota; Fungi; Ascomycota; Sordariomycetes; Hypocreales; Cordycipitaceae
Description: eukaryotic LSU rRNA
Rfam family: 5.8S ribosomal RNA (bases 241-394)
Source: RNAcentral